This 490-nucleotide ribosomal RNA is filed under the name uncultured bacterium. RNAcentral's name for it is "partial 16S ribosomal RNA". It matches the Rfam family "Bacterial small subunit ribosomal RNA", at positions 30 to 507 of the family's 1533-position model. The record is from RNAcentral.
AUUGAACGCUGGCGGCAGGCCUAACACAUGCAAGUCGAACGGUAACAGGAAGACGCUUGCUUCUUUGCUGACGAGUGGCGGACGGGUGAGUAAUGUCUGGGAAACUGCCUGAUGGAGGGGGAUAACUACUGGAAACGGUAGCUAAUACCGCAUAAUGUCGCAAGACCAAAGAGGGGGACCUUCGGGCCUCUUGCCAUCGGGUGUGCCCAGAUGGGAUUAGCUAGUAGGUGGGGUAACGGCUCACCUAGGCGACGAUCCCUAGCUGGUCUGAGAGGAUGACCAGCCACACUGGAACUGAGACACGGUCCAGACUCCUACGGGAGGCAGCAGUGGGGAAUAUUGCACAAUGGGCGCAAGCCUGAUGCAGCUAUGCCGCGUGUAUGAAGAAGGCCUUCGGGUUGUAAAGUACUUUCAUCGGGGAGGAAGGGAGUAAAGUUAAUACCUUUGCUCAUUGACGUUACCCGCAGAAGAAGCACCGGCUAACUCCGUG